Molecule: long non-coding RNA, 910 nt
Organism: Papaver somniferum (opium poppy)
Lineage: Eukaryota; Viridiplantae; Streptophyta; Magnoliopsida; Ranunculales; Papaveraceae
Exons: 3
Source: RefSeq, a predicted model, not a curated record
UCAUUUUCCCUUAUUUUCUCUUAUUUUCUUAUCUCUCUCAACAGGAUUCACAUCGACUUCUCCUCCUCCCAUUUUUUCUGCUCUUCGAAUCCCAAACCGAAUAUGCGAAAUCAACACCAAUUUCUCCAAAACCCUAAUCUCACAAAUCAAAACUCGUCUUUUGGAAAUCAAAUCUAAUCUUUCAAUAACUCAAACCCUAGAACUCGUUUCUUAUGUAAAGAUAAAUAUGUGAGAUGCUUGGUUCCAACCUGAAGUUUCUUUCUCUAAUUGUAAAUUAAUAGAUCCUGCAAGGUGUUGGUGGUGUGGUUAGAUCUGCAGAUUUUUGGGCUUGUUGGUGCCGGUGGUGCCUCAUUAUCUUAGUGUCUGUGAUGUGCAUCUGGAUUUACUAUGAGAAUGGGUGGUGGUGCUGGUGCUGGUGUGAUGCAGGUAAAGGUUGGAGGAGAGAAUCUCACUUUCAAGGUAUGCACAUGUAAUUUAUGCUUUUCAUCCCUCCCUUACCUGGUAAGAAAUAAAAUAAUGUUAUAGUCCUUUGGUUGCUUUGGUUGUGAAGAAACAUAUAUACUGUUUUUUCAAUGCUAAAAUUAUGAUCAUUGUAAAUCUUGUGUUUGCAGGUACCAUAGUUACUUCAAUGUCUAUGAAGUUAGCUCUCAGUGGAACUUACCCUGUCAUAAAGAAGUUUCAUUCUGUAAAUCUAAUCCACUUAGUUUCUUCUUAUGGAAUGUGCCUUAACUCAACACGCGAAAUUUUGCAUGGGAUGUGAUGCAGGGAGCUUGGUUGCUUACUUCGAGAAGAUUCAAAGCUUCAGGUGGAUUAGGUCAUUCUCUUCAGAUAAUGGUGACAUUGUUGAUGCUGUUGUUCCUUUCAUGGGAGAAUCCAUUACAGAUGGUACUCUAGCAGCUUUCUUGAAAAG